Molecule: non-coding RNA, 207 nt
Organism: Pelobates cultripes (western spadefoot toad)
Lineage: Eukaryota; Metazoa; Chordata; Amphibia; Anura; Pelobatidae
Source: the annotation of a GenBank genome assembly
GAGAGUGCCGUGUGUGUGAGAGAGUGCUGUGUGUGAUGGGUGUGAGAGUGCUGUGUGUGAUGGGUGUGAGAGUGCUGUGUGUGAUGGGUGUGAGAGUGCUGUGUGUGUGAGAGAGUGCUGUGUGUGAAAGUGCUCUGUGUGAUGGGUGUGAGAGUGCUGAGAGUGUGAUGGGUGUUAGAGUGCUGUAUAAAUGUUAUUGUGUGUGUG